RNAcentral lists this ribosomal RNA (527 nucleotides) under uncultured bacterium. Its description in RNAcentral is "partial 16S ribosomal RNA". It matches the Rfam family "Bacterial small subunit ribosomal RNA", at positions 355 to 871 of the family's 1533-position model. The record is from RNAcentral.
UGGGGAAUAUUGCACAAUGGGCGCAAGCCUGAUGCAGCCAUGCCGCGUGUGUGAAGAAGGCCUUCGGGUUGUAAAGCACUUUCAGCGAGGAGGAAGGUGGUGGACUUAAUACGUUCAUCAAUUGACGUUACUCGCAGAAGAAGCACCGGCUAACUCCGUGCCAGCAGCCGCGGUAAUACGGAGGGUGCAAGCGUUAAUCGGAAUUACUGGGCGUAAAGCGCACGCAGGCGGUUUGUUAAGUCAGAUGUGAAAUCCCCGGGCUCAACCUGGGAACUGCAUUUGAAACUGGCAAGCUAGAGUCUCGUAGAGGGGGGUAGAAUUCCAGGUGUAGCGGUGAAAUGCGUAGAGAUCUGGAGGAAUACCGGUGGCGAAGGCGGCCCCCCUGGACGAAGACUGACGCUCAGGUGCGAAAGCGUGGGGCAGCAAACAGGAUUAGAUACCCUGGUAGUCCACGCUGUAAACGAUGUCGAUUUUGGAGGUUGUGCCCUUGAGGCGUGGCUUCCGGAGCUAACGCGUUAAAUCGACCG